AUGCUUAUUUGGUAGCAUAUAUACUAAAACAGGAAUGAUACAGAAAAGAUUAUCAUGGCUCCCUGUGCAAGGAUGCCAUACAGAUUCAGAAGUGUUCCAUAUUUUG
Monodelphis domestica (gray short-tailed opossum) is the source of this 106-nucleotide small nuclear RNA. The record is from Ensembl. Lineage: Eukaryota; Metazoa; Chordata; Mammalia; Didelphimorphia; Didelphidae.